This 227-nucleotide ribosomal RNA is filed under the name Escherichia coli. RNAcentral's name for it is "partial 23S ribosomal RNA". It matches the Rfam family "Bacterial large subunit ribosomal RNA", at positions 144 to 409 of the family's 2925-position model. The record is from RNAcentral. Lineage: Bacteria; Pseudomonadati; Pseudomonadota; Gammaproteobacteria; Enterobacterales; Enterobacteriaceae.
CACACUAUCAUUAACUGAAUCCAUAGGUUAAUGAGGCGAACCGGGGGAACUGAAACAUCUAAGUACCCCGAGGAAAAGAAAUCAACCGAGAUUCCCCCAGUAGCGGCGAGCGAACGGGGAGCAGCCCAGAGCCUGAAUCAGUGUGUGUGUUAGUGGAAGCGUCUGGAAAGGCGCGCGAUACAGGGUGACAGCCCCGUACACAAAAAUGCACAUGCUGUGAGCUCGAU